AUGCAGUUUGCAAUCAGUGAGCACACAAACGAGGAGGAGCGCGCCGCCGACGAGAUCAUCAAGAAUCAGUUGGAAGCCCAUUUUGAGAAGGUGCAGAGGAUCUCGGAUACAACCACGCUGCCAUUUGCUAUGCACUACCUACGUUCGUGGAUAAUGGAGGAGCUGGAUAUUUCGCACCUGACCGAGAGGCUGCUGCAAGGGAAGGGAGAGAUGACGCCAGAGGACAAGUACGAGACCUGGGAGAAGAUCAAAAUUCUGAGUUUCACAAGGACAGUGUCUUCAAUGUGGGCCAUGACAUUGCUGAGCUUAUAUGUUAGAGUCCAGGUCACCAUAUUAGGCAGACACCUCUACUUGGACUUUGCUCGUGGUACAGAUGGUGCUCAAUUGCAGCAGGAAACUGACCUUAUUCAAAAUUUGUGUUCCAGUUUAUUAGUAGAAACAGUGGUAUUAAUCUCUAUUGCAAAACAAGAACAGACACAUUUGAUUGUUAUAGUGGAGUUGUGGUAUUUGCUUACUGUACAGGAUAGUAAUUUUCCACGUUUGUCAUCGAGAACACAUCUAUUGUCUAGCACCGAAUGGUAUACUAAUGGCGCAUCACAUGGUGCGCCAUUAGUAUCUGGUAUACUAAUGGCGCACCUGUGGUGCGCCAUUAGUAAUAAAAUCUAA
RNAcentral lists this ribosomal RNA (666 nucleotides) under Triticum aestivum (bread wheat). RNAcentral describes it as "partial small subunit ribosomal RNA". The record is from RNAcentral. Lineage: Eukaryota; Viridiplantae; Streptophyta; Magnoliopsida; Poales; Poaceae.